Molecule: ribosomal RNA, 232 nt
Filed under: uncultured bacterium
Lineage: Bacteria
Description: partial 16S ribosomal RNA
Rfam family: Bacterial small subunit ribosomal RNA
Source: RNAcentral
CGGACGGGUGAGUAAUGUAUGGGGAUCCGCCUGAUGGCGGGGGAUAACUACUGGAAACGGUAGCUAAUACCGCAUAAUGUCUGCGGACCAAAGCGGGGGACCUCCGGGCCUCGCGCCAUCAGAUGAACCCAUAUGGGAUUAGCUUGUAGGUAAGGUAACGGCUUACCUAGGCGACGAUCCCUAGCUGGUCUGAGAGGAUGAUCAGCCACACUGGGACUGAGACACGGCCCAG